Non-coding RNA from Nicotiana tabacum (common tobacco), 1243 nucleotides. NCBI's taxonomy places the organism in Eukaryota, Viridiplantae, Streptophyta, Magnoliopsida, Solanales, Solanaceae. The record is from RefSeq and is a predicted model, not a curated record.
UGGAUGAUAAUGUCUCUCUUGAGCGUAAAACCGAUAAUGUCUGUUUAUCAAAUUGAUUAUCAGGAUCCAAUUAACUAAGAGGGAGUUUGAAUUUCAAAGUCAUAAGAAUAGGACUUCCAGCUACAGAAAUGGAAGCAUUUAAUCUUCCUAGGGCAGUAAAAUUGAGGUAAUCAAGACAAAGUUCAGUUCUGUUGCAAGUCUUUAGUAUAUUUUGAAGAAUUCGCAUGACGUAACCAUACCUCUUUCGCACUUCAACAAGGUUUGUUAGGGUAAAUGUAAGGUUGAUGUAAUAUAGUUAGCAAUUAAUUUUAUAGGUAAAAUUGAGCUUUUUUAUGAGUUACUGUACUUCGCUUUUGAAAUCACAGCACCAUCUAACAUCGAUCAGCCACUAAAGAUGCUAAGAGUUUUAAAAGAUUGUUGAUUUGAUAGACAUUUCUGCUUUUAAGCAGUUUGCAGUGUAGAUCUUUCCCUGCUUGUUAUCUAUAUAUUGUGUGUAUUCUUAUAUUGUGAAACCAAUAUUAUUCUCAGAUUGUAUCAGCUGAAUAUCUGCAUCACUUCCUUUAUUUAUAGGACAGAAACUUGGAGGAGUGAGGACUUAAUUAUAUUAAGCCCUAGUCCACAUAGCAUUAAACAACCUCUCAAAAGCUGUCACAGUUGAAGGGUCUUCUUCAGAGAACAGCAAUUGGUUAAUGAUGGAUUAGGCAAAUUAAUUCUAUUCUAGAAAGGUCUCGCAGAGUUGCUAGAUAAUCUCUUUAGUUUUUAAGCUGCCCUCCUUUGAUGCACUAAUCUGGUAGGGAUUUUCUUUGACCUCCCUUAGACUUAUCACCCUUCAUCUAUAUUGUGUAGCUCGUGCACAUUAAUAUCUUUGUUCUUUUCAUGAUUUUCAUCAAUUUUGUAAGGUUCGUCGGUUGCAUAUUAAUCUGCUGUAGACUGAGGAAACACUGAUAAAAUAAGGCAUUAGGUUUGUGAAGACACACCUGAAUUUCUCAAAGAUUCCCAAGUAAUUAAGAAAAAAGUGAGGAGAAAACUAGGGUUCUUGAAAGAUAGAUAAAUAAAUGAGUACAGUUCAAAAAUGUGAUCCCACAUCUUGGGAAGACUUUUCUUGACUAGCUGAAUGAUACUCAGAAAAAAAAGGAAAAAAGAAAGAUAGAAAAGGGUACUGGAACACGUUAUUGUAAUCAUUUUAUCCUAAUACGGUAUUCAUACCUUAAACGAAUGGAGAAUAGGGGCAUGGUCCACUAUG